UAUUAGUCCAAUAAGAAAAGAACUCAUAUAUGUAAUGGGGUCAGAUUUAUUUCUCACCUCUCUAACCCAAACAAAUAAAUUAUUAGUCCAAUAAGAAAAGAACUCAUAUAUGUAAAUACCCAAAUUCAUUAUCUCUCAUCAUUCAACCUAACCUUAAUUUGAUGUGAGAGAAGCUCCUCCCCCUCACUACCUGAUGCCGCCGUCGCUACCCUUCCGGCGCCGCCGUCCGCCGCCGAGGCUGCGGCGUCCCUCUCUCUCUCCCUUUCCCCCUCCUCUAUCUCUCCCUCUCUUCGGCUCCGCCGCCACCGUCCCUCUCUCUCUCGGAUCCGCCGCCGCCACUGUGCAUGCACAGGCGGCGGCUUCGGCCUCCUCCGUUCCUCGUGCUGCCGGAGCAGCUUCUCGGCGCCACUCCAGCCCUGGCCGCUGCCUCCUCACCAACUCCCGAGAGGUAAAUUAGAUGGUGAAACUAAUGACGGAUCGAAGAUAUGGGGUUUCCACCGUGUCACGGGGUGCCUAAGUUCAGUGGCCGGAAUCCAGCAGAUUCAUAUUCAAGAGAUAAGAUUCUUAAUUUAUGCUUAGCUUGGUUGUAGGACUUGGAUUAUACAUGUUAUAUGAAUUUGAACAAUUAUCUUGCAUAUUGAGAUUUGAUGGUGAAACAUGGUGUUAAACUCGCUGUGCAUUGUUGAUUUCAGAUUUGGGCAGAUUCUACUUUCUCUUUAGAUAUGCAAAUGCUUGUACAUAAGAAGGAAAGAAAGGCUUGGGAUUUACCUUUUGAUGUGAAAAAGUAUCGUUGGAUCGUUGGGCUCGACUCUAUUAUUGUGUGCAAAUCUCCAUCCUUGUACUCCUCUAUUCUAUGUUGUGUUAGUAUGUGGGUGUGAAGAGAAUUUUAGAAUGUUGGAUAGUGAUGUGUGCUUGAAGUGCAAAGCCUUGGGGUUUAUAUAAUUGAUGUUCCUUUGCAAGUUGCUAUGCAAGUGGUGGGGGGAGCUUAAACUUGGGGAAGGUUUUAAGUUUUAACAUGGGGGAGGUUUUACCUUGGGGAGUUUUACUGCCAAACAAAAAAAAAUGUCCUAAUCUUAUAUUAGGAUUAUAGCAUUUAAUGCUAAGUUGAUAAUAACCGUUAGAUAUCACACUACUUGCAUCUCCAUUGCCUUCAUGAAAUCUCUAUGGAUUUGAUCAGAGAUUUCCAAAUCUAAUAGUAUGAUUUUUAAAAGAUUUCUCUUAAUAUGAAUAAUAAAUGCUAGUAUCUUACUCCUUCUAACUCUCUCUCAUCAUGUAGGAGCACUAAUUUGAAGAACCUUGGCUAUUCCUUGGAGUAGGAUGCAACCAUUGAACGGGCUAUCUGAGGCUUGCAUCUCUCUCCUCAAAUUGUAAAAGAUUAGAAUUUGAUUCUUUUGUAAUAGUAUUAGAUUGUAUCGGGCAUUGAGAACUUUUUAUUUUGGAUUUAUUCUUGUAUUUUCACUUGAAAUAAUCGGGGUAGAACAACAACUAUUAUUGUA
Salvia hispanica is the source of this 1496-nucleotide long non-coding RNA. RefSeq lists it as uncharacterized. NCBI's taxonomy places the organism in Eukaryota, Viridiplantae, Streptophyta, Magnoliopsida, Lamiales, Lamiaceae. The record is from RefSeq and is a predicted model, not a curated record.